Molecule: ribosomal RNA, 45 nt
Filed under: Boletus pseudopinophilus
Lineage: Eukaryota; Fungi; Basidiomycota; Agaricomycetes; Boletales; Boletaceae
Description: partial 18S ribosomal RNA
Source: RNAcentral
AGAAAAGUCGUAACAAGGUUUCCGUAGGUGAACCUGCGGAAGGAU